GUGGGGAAUUUUGGACAAUGGGCGCAAGCCUGAUCCAGCCAUUCCGCGUGCAGGAUGAAGGCCUUCGGGUUGUAAACUGCUUUUGUACGGAACGAAAAGGUUCUCUCUAAUACAGGGGGCUGAUGACGGUACCGUAAGAAUAAGCACCGGCUAACUACGUGCCAGCAGCCGCGGUAAUACGUAGGGUGCAAGCGUUAAUCGGAAUUACUGGGCGUAAAGCGUGCGCAGGCGGUGAUGUAAGACAGAUGUGAAAUCCCCGGGCUCAACCUGGGAACUGCAUUUGUGACUGCAUUGCUGGAGUGCGGCAGAGGGGGAUGGAAUUCCGCGUGUAGCAGUGAAAUGCGUAGAUAUGCGGAGGAACACCGAUGGCGAAGGCAAUCCCCUGGGCCUGCACUGACGCUCAUGCACGAAAGCGUGGGGAGCAAACAGGAUUAGAAACCCGGGUAGUCC
This 450-nucleotide ribosomal RNA is filed under the name uncultured bacterium. RNAcentral describes it as "partial 16S ribosomal RNA". It matches the Rfam family "Bacterial small subunit ribosomal RNA", at positions 354 to 796 of the family's 1533-position model. The record is from RNAcentral.